Molecule: long non-coding RNA, 577 nt
Organism: Prunus dulcis (almond)
Lineage: Eukaryota; Viridiplantae; Streptophyta; Magnoliopsida; Rosales; Rosaceae
Exons: 2
Source: RefSeq, a predicted model, not a curated record
GGGAGGGGAGGGGGAGAGAAGAACUUAACCCUUCCUCCCAUCACUUUUCCUAGAUCAUAUGCUCAGUUUAGAAUGUUCAAUGGAUUACAGGACUUCAAAAAUCUUCUCUCUCCCUUCUUGUCCACUUGCCCUGGAACAUCUGUAAUCUAUCAAAUUAUGACAUGAUUUAACAUCACACUUUUGAGAAAGAUGAUGAUGAGGGUUCGCUUUUAGCUUUGAGAAGGAUGAUGAGAUUCUAGGAAUCUUAUUCACAUUUCUUGGAUGUGGGUUAAAACUGGGUUCUGGAUGCCCACGAAAGAGGCCAUGGCAAGAGAUAUAAACGCCGUCAGUUUUAUUUUUCAGUACAAGUAAUAUUGGGGAAGGAAAAUUUGAACAAAAGACUUCAAAUGCGUAUGUAAAUAUUUUUAACUACUUAAGUUAUAAGUCCGUGCUACGCCAUCAUUCUUCUGGUGUAUUUAUCUGUAGCUUCACAAUAUGAGCAAAUGCCGUAGGUGUUAACUUGUUAAUUUGUGAUGAGCGACAAGUGAUUUUGACUGUAGGGUACAAGACACACAUCUACGAUGAGUUUAGGUUUGCA